Molecule: small RNA, 517 nt
Filed under: Pan troglodytes (chimpanzee)
Lineage: Eukaryota; Metazoa; Chordata; Mammalia; Primates; Hominidae
Description: processed transcript
Source: RNAcentral
CAUGGCCCUCUUCUUUGUUCUCUGCUGGAUCCAAGAGAUGGGGUUUCAUCAUGUUGGCCAGGCUGGUCAUGAACUCCUGACCUCAAUGGAUCCUCCUGCCUCAGCUUCCUGAGUAGCUGGGACCACAGGUGCACACCACCAUGCCCAGACUAUGUGAAAAUGAGCUUAGCCCCUGGUGUUGUGUUGGAACUUCAGAUGCUUGCAGACACUUCAUGAAUGCUCUGUGACACUCAGAAUAGGCUCUUCCCAACAAAAGAGCUUGAACAAUGCUGCAUUUGCCUCAGGUUCAAAUGAGCGAGAGGAACAUUUGGCUAAAAUAUUUGAGAUGGGGUUUCACUGUGUUAGCCAGGAUGGUCUCGAUCUCCUGACCUCAUGAUCCGCCCGCCUCGGCCUCCCAAAGUGCUGGGAUUACAGGCGUGAACCACCAUGCCCGGCCCAGAAUGUCCUUUCUUUUCGAAGCCGAGUAAUAUUCCAUUAUCACCUUUCAGAGGAGAAGAAUUUUAAAGAAUCCUGUCUG